GGAGAGUGCUAUGCCUGUGAUGAGCCCAUUUCGACUGACGACCGGGAGAAGUUUUUUAACCAAUUCACAGGUCAAUAUGUAGGUCCUAUUCAUAAGGUUUAUUGUAUUUCCAUACGAAUAUUUAGAUAGCUUUUACAAAUUUGACGAUCUCCAACUACCCUCGAGAAAAUUUUUUUCAACUCACUGAGUGAUGAGGAGUGUAGUUUAGAAGACCAUAACUUUGCUCAGAAGGUUUGGAGAACAUUUAAUUGCAGCAAUAUUCGAGAUUAUUUGAAAUUAUACUUAGAAAGCGAUGUUUUAAUUCUUGCUGAUGUAUUUAAAAACUUUAGGAGUAUUUGCUCACGAAUAUAUAACUUAGACCCAAUAAAUUAUGUUACUGCUCCUUCUGUUUCAUGGGAUGCAAUGCUUAAAUAUACAAAGAUAGAAUUUGGCCGCAAUGGCCAAAGUUUUAGUAGCAUCAACAAUCAUCAUAUGGAACGAAUGCACAAUGGCGCACAAACGCGCAUUGGAAGCACUAGACCGAACAUUAAAAGAUCUGCGCAAUGACUCGAUAUGUUUUGGUGGUGCAAUGAUUUUAUUAUCUGACGAUUUCCGACAAACACUACUAGUCAUUACAAGAUCUACUGCUGCAGACGAAAUAAACGCUUGCCUCAAAGCAUCAAAUCUGUGGCGAUAUGUAAAGAAACUUCAACUGUCUGUAAAUAUGAGAGUUGCAUUGUUGAACGAUCUAUCUGCUGAUGAUUUCUCGAAGCAAUUGCUGACUAUCGGUAAUGGCCGUGUUCCUGUUGACAAAUCGAGCGGUUUGAUUUAAUUUCCUCCAAAUUUUUGCAAUUUCGUAUCAUCAAAAGACGAGCUUAUCAACAAAGUAUUCCCGGAUAUCAUUGCUAACCACAAAAUACUAAAUGGUUAAGUGAGCGAGCAAUUUUGGCCGCUAAAAAUAAAGAUGAAGAUGACCUCAAUCUUAUAAUUCAAAAUCAAAUCGUAGGAACUCUAUAUUCAUUCAAAUCUAUCGACUGUGUAACAAACGAAGAAGAAGCCACUAAUUAUCCAAUUGAAUUUUUAAACUCCUUGGAUGUGCCUGGUUUACCACCGCACAAUUUAAAACUUAAAGUUGGCUCGGUAGUCAGUAUGCUUAGAAAUUUAAACCAACCAAAACUGUGCAAUGGAACGCGUUUGGUAGAAAACUGAUGAGCAAUGUGAUUCACGCGUCGAUACUUAAAGGAAAAUUUAAAGAUGAGGAAGUUCUUAUUCCAAGGAUUCCGAUGAUCCCAACGGAUAUGCCCAUUGAGUUUAAACGAAUUCAAUUCCCGAUUCGUCUUGCAUUCGCCCUGACGAUCAACAAAUCACAGGAUCAAUCCUUGACUAUUUGUGGCCUCAAUCUAGAAAAUUAAUGUUUUUCUCAUGGUCAAUUGUACGUGGCAUACUCACGUGUCGGCAAACCAUCCGCUUUAUUUGUUCUUGCGCCUGACCAAAAAGCAAAGAAUGUGAUCCAUGAUCAAUGUUUACCACAAAGUGCUUGAAUGAAAAUCCUAUUACCAUCGCAUUGGAUCAUUGCAACCUAUAGAAGAUGCACAGCAUAAAUUCUUGCAAUAUGGGCAAUAUGGAAGAACAACUUGACAGGCGUCAAGGGAUCAAGACAGCUACGACGAGAGCAAUUCUCCAAGAUCUACAGCAAAUGCUUCAUGAACAUCAUGCAUUGGUCAGGCUUUUCAAGACUGCUUUAGAGCGCAUGACAAGUGAUUGCAAUUCGGUCAAGUCAAUUAAAUACAUUUGCAAAUAUGUCACGAAAGGGAGCGACAUUGCGGUUUUUGGUAUCCAAACAUCCAAUACGAUGAAAUCACGCGCUAUCAAGUUGGUACCUUUUUCUUUCUAUCUAUAUAAACAUAUUAUUUUGUAUCAUUGUUUUACGUUCAUCAAAGCCUAAAUUAGUUCAGCUAAUAAGUAACACUACAUUCAUUGACUGUUAGGCGGUGCGAAGUUCGCCGGGUCAGCUAGUAUAUAAUAAAUACAAUAUAAAUUUAAAACAAUAUUUAUUUUCAAUGGGUAGUUUUUUUUAACUUUGAUUGGUGAAGUUUCAAUCCACCAAGAGACUCAUAGGAUUCGUUUCCAACAUGGUUUUGUUCUAAGGGAGGAUUACACAAAAAGAAUAAGUAGAUUUUAGGUAGAAUGCCCCUACUAUUGAAUGUAUUGGUUUAAUUUCACAUCAUAUUAUUAUACAGGGAGGUUUUUGAAACAGGCUUGGAAAAGAUAACAGAACCUUUUUCAUUCAACGGUCAAGUGACUGCCAGAUAAACUGCCAAAUAUAACCUCAUCUAGGCCCAAAUCCCUUAGUCCUCUUCUAAUAGUGAAAAUGGUUGCAAGUCGUUGGUAAAAAAUAAACUAAAAACUAAAAUGGCAUCUAAAAUUGUGUGUGAUCAGUGCUCUAAGUGCUUUGAAUUAACAGAAUGGUAUGCUCAUUAUGAGGAAUGGUCGGAUCGUAUAAAUGCUUUUUAAGUACUUAUGACCAAAGGGUCAAGCAAAGGGUCAAGCUAUCAAGAAGCAUCAACGUCAGGCGCAUCAAAACGUCCUAGAUUGGAGACUUCUCUGGAAAAAGCCAAUAUCACCUUACAACGAGCGGCGAAAGUUACCUGCCGUCUAGGGAAAUGCGUCAUAUACUGUCAGAAAAACGUAACGCAACUCGAGGAUAAUGAAAAUGUUAUUGUAAUUUCAACAGAGUCGCGAUUUCCUUUAAAAUCAUAUCGUGUUCGCUCUAAAAGAAUUUUAUAAUGAUUGCAAAGCGGACUUAACCAAAUUAGUGCGUUACUGUAUGAGUGAGUACGUGUCGGUUAAGUUCAAUCUAAAAGUAUAUGGACUGUAUGUCAAACAAACGGAUGAUAAAACCUUAACGGAAACGAUGAAGCAUUUCGUGACAUCAUAUAAGCCUAUAUAUGCAAAUGAGGAGAUUGAUGAACAUCUGAAUGAUGCCCUUGACCUUUUAAUCACUCUAAGUAGUGAAUUCCAGGAGAAGGAUUCAGGUUGGGCAAUAAAAAAAAUUUUGAGCUGACAAUAAUUAAAUUGGAACAUAUCGCUGUAAAUAGAUUUAUACCAGCUGCCAAUAAAAUAAAAUCUCGAAAUGCAUUAAUAAAUGUUAAAAAUGAAGAUGAUUAUUGCUUCAAGUGGUCAAUUUUAGCAUCAUUGGCAUAUAGACGGUACUUGAGCACUACAUUCGCAACAUCAAACCAAAAUAAAGCACGAGAUAACUUAACAAACCCUUCAUUCUAUCGAAUGAUAGACAUCAGGCAAGACAUAAUUUGCUAUGAAGGAGUGAGACUGGAU
This 3315-nucleotide long non-coding RNA is filed under the name Drosophila guanche. The record is from RNAcentral. Lineage: Eukaryota; Metazoa; Arthropoda; Insecta; Diptera; Drosophilidae.